Passer domesticus (house sparrow) is the source of this 1315-nucleotide long non-coding RNA. RefSeq lists it as uncharacterized. The transcript has 4 exons. Lineage: Eukaryota; Metazoa; Chordata; Aves; Passeriformes; Passeridae. The record is from RefSeq and is a predicted model, not a curated record.
CAGGAAUUGUACCAGCAGCACAUGAGAUAUCUGGAAAAGAAGAAUGAAAUGCCUGCACUUGACAUGCCAAAUCAACAGAAAAUAAUGCAACAAUUGAACACUGAAAAGGAAACCAAGCAAGAAGAUUUGGAGCAUGGGUCUGCUUCUUUGAAGGAAGGAAGAGGGGGAACACUGAGUGCUGCACUGACCAAGUGUAAAAUUGCCAAAGGGGCUCUGAAGAAUCGCUUGGCAUUCCUGAAGGGAAAGUCUUGUAUCCAGGCAGGCACUGGCAUUGAUCUUCAUUCCACUGCAACAUGCCUGAAUUAUUCCAGAGAUGUUUCCCAUCAAGAGGCUUUUGGAGCACAAGAGGAGCAGCUGUUUUGUGGCUCAGGGACCAGCCUGGAAUCAAACAAAGUGGUUGCAUCAGCAGAGGAGAAGAGAGAGAGACCUGAAUUAUCCACUGUGCCCAGGAGAAGUGGCGAGCAGGUGGAACCUGACAGGAGAAUCAGAGCUUUUAGGAGAAUGUUCCUCCCAGACUACUUCAUAUUCCCUGUCCACGAGUCUGCCCAUCGAAAUUGGUCAACUUUUGAAAUAGAAGACUCCUCCAGUAGCUCAGGGGAGCAGCAGCCCUCGUGCUGAUGCACAGCCUGUGGAGAAGAGGGUGUCCCUGCUGCAGUCACAGCUGGCCCAAGACCGACAGCACCACCUGGAGAGCUGUGCAGGGAGCAGGCAGGAGACACAAGGUGCAGAAGGGACCUCCUUGCUUCCUGAACAUCUCAGAGAGGAGCCAGCUGGAUGCAGUUUUAGACGUAGGCAGUAGUUUAUGUUUAAAGGUGGUAUAGUAUAGGAUAGCAUAGGUAAUAGUAAUUGAACCUUUAUACAACUGUCUUCCAUAGGAUGAAGGAUAUAUUGAUAGAGAAAUAAAGAGUUUAUUCUGAUCACAAUUAAACUAAAAGAUCUUUUUCAGGCUUAUUUACUGCCCAGUACAGAGACCUGUAACUUCCAGUAUAGUGCAUUAUAUCUGAAACAACAUUGAAGCAAUUCCAGUCAAGCCAGCAAAAACCAAUUCUUAAAGAUUGAUGCUACUCACCCAAACCCAUGACCAUGGGCAAACCUUUCUCUCAGUCUCAAGGCGUGACCUUGAGGAGCAUCCUCACUCCAGGGAGGAACCUGCAGAAGGGACACAUGUGCCAUGCACCACUUUGGUGAGGGCAGGAGAAUCCUGCCAUGUGAGGAGGUUUUUAAUUUGUCCUUAGGAAACUGCAGCCUGUUUUUUCUCGGAGUCACAGAAUCUCAGGCUGGGGGAGGCUGGAGGCACCUCUGGAGGUCACCUUGC